Molecule: ribosomal RNA, 568 nt
Filed under: uncultured Propionibacterium sp.
Lineage: Bacteria; Bacillati; Actinomycetota; Actinomycetes; Propionibacteriales; Propionibacteriaceae
Description: bacterial SSU rRNA
Rfam family: Bacterial small subunit ribosomal RNA
Source: RNAcentral
AACGGAAAGGCCCUGCUUUUGUGGGGUGCUCGAGUGGCGAACGGGUGAGUAACACGUGAGUAACCUGCCCUUGACUUUGGGAUAACUUCAGGAAACUGGGGCUAAUACCGGAUAGGAGCUCCUGCUGCAUGGUGGGGGUUGGAAAGUUUCGGCGGUUGGGGAUGGACUCGCGGCUUAUCAGCUUGUUGGUGGGGUAGUGGCUUACCAAGGCUUUGACGGGUAGCCGGCCUGAGAGGGUGACCGGCCACAUUGGGACUGAGAUACGGCCCAGACUCCUACGGGAGGCAGCAGUGGGGAAUAUUGCACAAUGGGCGGAAGCCUGAUGCAGCAACGCCGCGUGCGGGAUGACGGCCUUCGGGUUGUAAACCGCUUUCGCCUGUGACGAAGCGUGAGUGACGGUAAUGGGUAAAGAAGCACCGGCUAACUAUGUGCCAGCAGCCGCGGUGAUACGUAGGGUGCGAGCGUUGUCCGGAUUUAUUGGGCGUAAAGGGCUCGUAGGUGGUUGAUCGCGUCGGAAGUGUAAUCUUGGGGCUUAACCCUGAGCGUGCUUUCGAUACGGGUUGACUUG